GUCCGUAGCUCAGUUGGUUAGAGCGCACCCCUGAUAAGGGUGAGGUCGGUGGUUCAAAUCCACUCGGACCUACCAG
RNAcentral lists this transfer RNA (76 nucleotides) under uncultured Alphaproteobacteria bacterium. Its description in RNAcentral is "tRNA-Ile". It matches the Rfam family "tRNA". Rfam says of the family: Transfer RNA (tRNA) molecules are approximately 80 nucleotides in length. Their secondary structure includes four short double-helical elements and three loops (D, anti-codon, and T loops). Further hydrogen bonds mediate the characteristic L-shaped molecular structure. tRNAs have two regions of fundamental functional importance: the anti-codon, which is responsible for specific mRNA codon recognition, and the 3' end, to which the tRNAs corresponding amino acid is attached (by aminoacyl-tRNA synthetases). tRNAs cope with the degeneracy of the genetic code in two manners: having more than one tRNA (with a specific anti-codon) for a particular amino acid; and 'wobble' base-pairing, i.e. permitting non-standard base-pairing at the 3rd anti-codon position. Lineage: Bacteria; Pseudomonadati; Pseudomonadota; Alphaproteobacteria. The record is from RNAcentral.